ACAGAGGUCCCAAGCGUUGUUCGGAUUUACUGGGCGUAAAGGGUGCGUAGGCGGCGGGGCAAGUUUGAUGUGAAAUCUCCGAGCUUAACUCGGAAACUGCAUUGAAUACUGCCUUGCUAGAGGGUCGAAGGGGAGACUGGAAUUCUCGGUGUAGCGGUGAAAUGCGUAGAUAUCGAGAGGAACGCCAGUGGCGAAAGCGAGUCUCUGGACGACCCCUGACGCUGAGGCACGAAAGCUAGGGGAGCAAACAG
RNAcentral lists this ribosomal RNA (251 nucleotides) under uncultured prokaryote. RNAcentral describes it as "partial 16S rRNA". It matches the Rfam family "Bacterial small subunit ribosomal RNA", at positions 525 to 775 of the family's 1533-position model. The record is from RNAcentral.